AGAACGAACGCUGGCGGCAUGCCUAAUACAUGCAAGUCGAACGAACUCUUCGGAGUUAGUGGCGCACGGGUGCGUAACGCGUGGGAAUCUGCCCCUUGGUUCGGAAUAACAGUUGGAAACGACUGCUAAUACCGGAUGAUGACGAAAGUCCAAAGAUUUAUCGCCAAGGGAUGAGCCCGCGUAGGAUUAGCUAGUUGGUGAGGUAAAGGCUCACCAAAGGCAAACGUAGU
Molecule: ribosomal RNA, 230 nt
Filed under: uncultured soil bacterium
Lineage: Bacteria
Description: partial 16S ribosomal RNA
Rfam family: Bacterial small subunit ribosomal RNA
Source: RNAcentral